UACGUAGGGUGCAAGCGUUGUCCGGAAUUAUUGGGCGUAAAGAGCUCGUAGGCGGUCUGUCGCGUCGGCUGUGAAAACCCGGGGCUCAACCCCGGGCCUGCAGUCGAUACGGGCAGACUAGAGUGCGGUAGGGGAGACUGGAAUUCCUGGUGUAGCGGUGAAGUGCGCAGAUAUCAGGAGGAACACCGGUGGCGAAGGCGGGUCUCUGGGCCGUAACUGACGCUGAGGAGCGAAAGCGUGGGGAGCGAACAGG
RNAcentral lists this ribosomal RNA (253 nucleotides) under uncultured bacterium. RNAcentral's name for it is "partial 16S ribosomal RNA". It matches the Rfam family "Bacterial small subunit ribosomal RNA", at positions 524 to 776 of the family's 1533-position model. The record is from RNAcentral.